RNAcentral lists this ribosomal RNA (301 nucleotides) under uncultured bacterium. RNAcentral's name for it is "partial 16S ribosomal RNA". It matches the Rfam family "Bacterial small subunit ribosomal RNA", at positions 511 to 809 of the family's 1533-position model. The record is from RNAcentral.
CUAGCCGCGGUAAUACGUAGGUGGCAAGCGUUGUCCGGAAUUAUUGGGCGUAAAGGGCUCGCAGGCGGUUUCUUAAGUCUGAUGUGAAAGCCCCCGGCUCAACCGGGGAGGGUCAUUGGAAACUGGGAAACUUGAGUGCAGAAGAGGAGAGUGGAAUUCCACGUGUAGCGGUGAAAUGCGUAGAGAUGUGGAGGAACACCAGUGGCGAAGGCGACUCUCUGGUCUGUAACUGACGCUGAGGAGCGAAAGCGUGGGGAGCGAACAGGAUUAGAUACCCCCGUAGUCCCUGUCUCUUAUACAC